GACCCCUUGUCCAGCUCUUUGAUUUGUAACCACUCUGAUAGCUUUUUAUCUCUUCUGCUCUCAGGUUGAGCCAGCCCAAGUCGUGAAGGAUGCGCUGUGACUUCCUGCCCUUACCAUGCGUUGGGGAGCAGGGGUGUGGGGAGCGGCACCAUCCCGCCAGGAGAUGCAGCUCUGCAGAACCCUGUUUGGUCCAGGUCUUCUUUUUGUCGUCCUUGGUGAGGUGCUUCAGGGGAGGCAACCUGUAUCUCCUUUCCCAGGGGUAGCUUCGGAUUGGCCUAGCCACCACUUCUUAAACUGGACCAUCAUUCAUUGUAAGAACUCUUACAUCACAGCUCAACACACAUGUAAGUAGAAAUGCAUAUGGAGAUAUUUAUAUCUACAUCUGAACUCAAAUUU
RNAcentral lists this long non-coding RNA (396 nucleotides) under Felis catus (domestic cat). RNAcentral's name for it is "lncRNA (ENSFCAG00000047815.1)". Lineage: Eukaryota; Metazoa; Chordata; Mammalia; Carnivora; Felidae. The record is from RNAcentral.